RNAcentral lists this ribosomal RNA (400 nucleotides) under uncultured bacterium. RNAcentral describes it as "bacterial SSU rRNA". It matches the Rfam family "Bacterial small subunit ribosomal RNA", at positions 355 to 764 of the family's 1533-position model. The record is from RNAcentral.
UAGGGAAUAUUGCGCAAUGGACGGAAGUCUGACGCAGCGACGCCGCGUGAGCGAUGAAGGUCUUCGGAUCGUAAAGCUCUGUCCUUGGGGAAGAAGGCGAAAGCUUGACGGUACCCAAGAAGAAAGCCCCGGCUAACUACGUGCCAGCAGCCGCGGUAAUACGUAGGGGGCGAGCGUUGUCCGGAAUUACUGGGCGUAAAGGGUGCGUAGGCGGCCCUUUAAGUCGGAUGUGAAAGCCCGCGGCUUAACCGCGGAAUGGCAUUCGAAACUGGAGGGCUUGAGUGUCGGAGAGGGUAGUGGAAUUCCCAGUGUAGCGGUGAAAUGCGUAGAUAUUGGGAGGAACACCAGUGGCGAAGGCGACUACCUGGACGAUAACUGACGCUGAGGCACGAAAGCUAGG